UAGGAGCAAGGGGUAGCUCCGAACCACUAUAAAACUCUGUGUUUGCAUUGGAUUGUCUCUUCUCUUCUUCCUCUCACAUCACUCACAGCACUUAGCAUUAAUUAAAUAACUUGCAAUAGUUUUUAAUUAAUCAUCCUUAAAGUUUUAAAUAUCUAAAUUAAUUUAAAACCCAAUUCACCCCCCCUCUUGGGUUGUCUAUC
RNAcentral lists this long non-coding RNA (200 nucleotides) under Phoenix dactylifera (date palm). RNAcentral's name for it is "long non-coding RNA (PDAC_LNC020210)". The record is from RNAcentral. Lineage: Eukaryota; Viridiplantae; Streptophyta; Magnoliopsida; Arecales; Arecaceae.